RNAcentral lists this ribosomal RNA (445 nucleotides) under Lachnospiraceae bacterium oral taxon 107. RNAcentral's name for it is "bacterial SSU rRNA". It matches the Rfam family "Bacterial small subunit ribosomal RNA", at positions 28 to 456 of the family's 1533-position model. The record is from RNAcentral. Lineage: Bacteria; Bacillati; Bacillota; Clostridia; Lachnospirales; Lachnospiraceae.
GAUGAACGCGGCGGCGUGCUUAACACAUGCAAGUCGAACGAAGCUGCCCAAAGGAAGUUUUCGGAUGGAAUUUAGGUAGACUUAGUGGCGGACGGGUGAGUAACGCGUGGAUAACCUGCCUUAUACAGGGGGAUAACGGAGAGAAAUUUCCGCUAACACCGCAUAAGACCACAGCACCGCAUGGUGCAGGGGUAAAAUAUUUAUAGGUAUAAGAUGGAUCCGCGUCCGAUUAGCUAGUUGGUGAGGUAAAGGCCCACCAAGGCGACGAUCGGUAGCCGGCCUGAGAGGGUGAACGGCCACAUUGGGACUGAGACACGGCCCAAACUCCUACGGGAGGCAGCAGUGGGGAAUAUUGGACAAUGGGGGAAACCCUGAUCCAGCGACGCCGCGUGAGUGAAGAAGUAUUUCGGUAUGUAAAGCUCUAUCAGCAGGGAAGAAAAUGACG